AACUCCUACGGGAGGCAGCAGUAGGGAAUCUUCGGCAAUGGACGAAAGUCUGACCGAGCAACGCCGCGUGAGUGAAGAAGGUUUUCGGAUCGUAAAACUCUGUUGUUAGAGAAGAACAAGGAUGAGAGUAACUGUUCAUCCCUUGACGGUAUCUAACCAGAAAGCCACGGCUAACUACGUGCCAGCAGCCGCGGUAAUACGUAGGUGGCAAGCGUUGUCCGGAUUUAUUGGGCGUAAAGCGAGCGCAGGCGGUUUCUUAAGUCUGAUGUGAAAGCCCCCGGCUCAACCGGGGAGGGUCAUUGGAAACUGGGAGACUUGAGUGCAGAAGAGGAGAGUGGAAUUCCAUGUGUAGCGGUGAAAUGCGUAGAUAUAUGGAGGAACACCAGUGGCGAAGGCGGCUCUCUGGUCUGUAACUGACGCUGAGGCUCGAAAGCGUGGGGAGCAAACAGGAUUAGAUACCCUGGUAGUCCACGCCGUAAACGA
This 483-nucleotide ribosomal RNA is filed under the name Enterococcus faecium. RNAcentral describes it as "bacterial SSU rRNA". It matches the Rfam family "Bacterial small subunit ribosomal RNA", at positions 334 to 809 of the family's 1533-position model. Lineage: Bacteria; Bacillati; Bacillota; Bacilli; Lactobacillales; Enterococcaceae. The record is from RNAcentral.